CAGGGAUGGGUUUGGUGUCCCCAUGGGUGCCAGGGACAGGUUCGGUGUCCCUAUGGGUGCCGGGGCUGAGCCCCGUGGGUUAUCGGGGAUUGGGGAUUGGGUUCGGUCCCCGGCGGCACCGCGCGGCGUCCCGGCAUCGCCAAGGCUGCGGCGCCCACUGGUCGGGGUGAUUGUGGUUGGUGGGUGACAAGGGGAGGUUAUUUGGGGGAAAAUAAGGGUUUAUUUUGGUGGGAAAUAAUGAUUUAUUGGGGGAAAGUCACCGUUUUUGGUAAGAGAUCGUGGUUUGUUGGUGACAAAUGGUGGUUUAUUGGUGAAAAGUUAUGGUUUGUUGGUGACAAGUCAUGGUUAGUUGGUGCCAAAUGGCAGAUUGUUGGUGAAAAAUAAUGGUUUAUUGGUGCCAAAUCAUGGCUUGUUGGUAAAAAAUAAGAAUUUAUUGGUGAAAAAUCACCCUUUUUGGUGACAGAUUGUAGUUUGUUGGUGUCAAGUGGUGGUUUAUUGGUGAAAAGUCAUGGUUAGUUGGUGCCAAAUGGCAGCUUGUUGGUAAAAAUAAUGGUUUAAUGGUGAAAAAUACGUUUAUUGGUGAAAAAUGGUGAUUUGUUGGUGACAAAUCAUGGCUUGAUGGUGAGAAAUCGCAGUUUAUGGGUGACAAAUCGUGGCUUUUUGGUGAAAAGUAACGGUUUAUUGGUGACAAAGUUGCAUUUUAUCGGUGAUAACGCACGGUUUGUUGGUGACAAGUCGUGGAUUGGGGACAAAUCUCGUUUUUUUGGUGAAAAAUCUCAGGCUGGUGGUGACGAACGGCAGCUAAUUAGUGACAAAGCGCAGCUUCCCGCGGGGCAGCAGAAGCUCCCUGGAGCCUCCCCGUCCCCCUCCCUCGCUCCCCCCGCCCUGGGGGACACCCCCCAGCUGCCCCCCCCCCCCCCCCCCCCC
Molecule: long non-coding RNA, 927 nt
Filed under: Anas platyrhynchos platyrhynchos (common mallard)
Lineage: Eukaryota; Metazoa; Chordata; Aves; Anseriformes; Anatidae
Description: lncRNA (ENSAPLG00000018594.1)
Source: RNAcentral